AGUUAGUAUUAAACAUCUUUAGUUGAGUUGCAAAUGGAAUAUAGGGUGAAAUAAAUAAAUUUAAUGUACAAAGGAAUUUACACAAGCAUAAAUAUUGAAUGUUAAUGUUGGAUGGAAUUGUACACAAAAUUUACAAAUGUGCAUGUCACUAUCAGCUCUAUCAUGGUCCUGUAUAGUAAUAAUGUCACUAAGAUGUAGUCAUGUAUUAACUCAUUGCUGCCGAGUGUCCCUAAUCUUCUAACUG
Molecule: long non-coding RNA, 244 nt
Filed under: Lathyrus oleraceus (garden pea)
Lineage: Eukaryota; Viridiplantae; Streptophyta; Magnoliopsida; Fabales; Fabaceae
Description: Pisum sativum (pea) long non-coding RNA (PSAT_LNC028575)
Source: RNAcentral